AACGGACCUAAGUAAGGAAGUAUGUGUGGAAGAAGGUUCCAGAAGAUCUUGUGAUGUUCCUCAUGAAGUCUGUGAGGGGAUGAGCUUGCUGGAGGAGUAGAUGGAGUGAAAGG
This 113-nucleotide long non-coding RNA is filed under the name Octodon degus (degu). Its description in RNAcentral is "T-cell leukemia/lymphoma 6 conserved region 1 (ENSODEG00000020911.1)". It matches the Rfam family "T-cell leukemia/lymphoma 6 conserved region 1". Lineage: Eukaryota; Metazoa; Chordata; Mammalia; Rodentia; Octodontidae. The record is from RNAcentral.